Molecule: ribosomal RNA, 301 nt
Filed under: uncultured bacterium
Lineage: Bacteria
Description: partial 16S ribosomal RNA
Rfam family: Bacterial small subunit ribosomal RNA
Source: RNAcentral
CAGCAGCCGCGGGAAUACGUAGGGCGCAAGCGUUAUCCGGAAUUAUUGGGCGUAAAGAGCUCGUAGGCGGUUUGUCGCGUCUGCCGUGAAAGUCCGGGGCUCAACCCCGGAUCUGCGGUGGGUACGGGCAGACUAGAGUGAUGUAGGGGAGACUGGAAUUCCUGGUGUAGCGGUGAAAUGCGCAGAUAUCAGGAGGAACACCGAUGGCGAAGGCAGGUCUCUGGGCAUUAACUGACGCUGAGGAGCGAAAACAUGGGGAGCGAACAGGAUUAGAUACCCGAGUAGUCCCUGUCUCUUAUAC